UGGGGAAUUUUGCGCAAUGGGCGCAAGCCUGACGCAGCAACGCCGCGUGAGUGAAGACGCCUUUCGGGGUGCAAAGCUCUGUCAGUGGGGACGAAGGUGUGGUGAUGAACAGUUGCCAGGCGUGACGGUACCCACGAAGGAAGCCCCGGCUAACUCCGUGCCAGCAGCCGCGGUAAGACGGAGGGGGCGAGCGUUGUUCGGAAUUACUGGGCGUAAAGCGCACGCAGGCGGCGUGCCAAGUGCGAAGUGAAAGCCCUCGGCUUAACCGGUGAAGGGCUUCGCAGACUGGUAGGCUAGAGUGUCGGAGGGGGAGGCGGAAUUCCUGGUGGAGCGGUGAAAUGCGUAGAGAUCAGGAAGAACGUCGGUGGCGAAGGCGGCCUCCUGGACGAACACUGACGCUGAGGUGCGACAGCGUGGGGAGCGAACG
This 427-nucleotide ribosomal RNA is filed under the name uncultured bacterium. RNAcentral describes it as "bacterial SSU rRNA". It matches the Rfam family "Bacterial small subunit ribosomal RNA", at positions 355 to 774 of the family's 1533-position model. The record is from RNAcentral.